CGGGACGGGUGAGUAACGCGUGGGUAACCUACCCUCGUACACACGGAUAACAUACCGAAAGGUAUGCUAAUACGGGAUAAUAUAUUUGAGAGGCAUCUCUUGAAUAUCAAAGGUGAGCCAGUACAGGAUGGACCCGCGCUGAUUAGCUAGUUGGUAAGGUAACGGCUUACCAAGGCGACGAUCAGUAGCCGACCUGAGAGGGUGAUCGGCCACAUUGGGACUGAGACACGGCCCAG
Molecule: ribosomal RNA, 236 nt
Filed under: uncultured bacterium
Lineage: Bacteria
Description: partial 16S ribosomal RNA
Rfam family: Bacterial small subunit ribosomal RNA
Source: RNAcentral